Non-coding RNA from Paramuricea clavata, 1286 nucleotides. The record is from the annotation of a GenBank genome assembly. Lineage: Eukaryota; Metazoa; Cnidaria; Anthozoa; Malacalcyonacea; Plexauridae.
UGGUGAUUUUCAGAAAACUAGGUACUUAAAUUAUACAAAAACAUCAAAAUAAAACUAGUUUUCAUAUAUUGUGCAUGAAAUAUUUAAAAGUUAAAAAUUUUCCGCGCUUGUAAAACUGCGACAACAAACUAUCGCUUGAAAAAAAGAACUUGCUGUUUUUAUCAAUUUAUGGCGCUUCAUCUGGUGGAACUUGACAAAAAUACAUGUGAUUGAACAUACCUGAUUUCCAAACACACAUUCCAGUUGCAGGUUUUACAACAACAGCCGUUUAAAAAACUUUUUCUUCGUCUUUUUUUUCAUCUUAUAAACGAACGAAGUUGUUUUGCAAAAACAAUCGAUUCUCGUGAGUGAGAUCCCAGACUUAUAUCACACUACGACAUUCCCCAUAUAAUCAGCCGUGAUUAAGAAUCCGGAAAAAAGAAUUUGUCCAUAGUAAUAGCACAGAUCCCAAAUCCGUUGUGAAUUCAGCUUGAAUUGUACCUUUUUACGUAGUAAUUUUAAAAAGAAGUCAAAACAAACAUGCAUGCCUGAUCAAACCACAUCGAAUUCGAAUAAAAAUGAAAAUAUGCGGGAGGACCUGCAUCACCGUGUUCACCGCCCGUGUUUUACAGCGCCCUCCGCCCGUGUUUUACAGCGCCCUGGUUCGUGUUAUAAAAUCUUUACAGCGCCCUGGUUCGUGUUAUAAAAUCUGUUCGUGUUAUAAAAUCUGUUCAUGUUAAAUCUGUUCGUGUUAAAUCUUUCGUGAAACCCGUUGCACCAAUAGUCUGCACCCGCAUUGUACCCAGAAAGUGAAUACAAAAGGCAAAGGGUAAAUCUUUCGUGCACCCGUUGCACCAAUAGUCUGCACCCGCAUUGUACCCAGAAAGUGAAUACAAAAGGCAAAGGGUGCACUUGCACCCACUGCACCUGUGGUUCCGGCGUCCCUGCGUGAAGAUAUGUUAAUUUAUAACAAGAGUUCUAAACAAGAGUAAGAUCUAUAGUGUGGCGAUGAUUUAUUGUGACAGUCGUUUAUAUAUUCCCCCCCCGCCUGACAAUAACGGAUAUAAAAGCUCUUUUCCCCUCAUCACAAAAACCAACUCGCAAGCUAGCUCACUGCGAGUGUUUUCAUCUAAGUAAAAUAAACUGCGGGCAUUGUAAUUGGUUGAAAGCACUGGCAGCAAGCUUGCGAGUUGAGUGCAUAACGGAUAGAUAUACUGUAAUUCUAAGGAAUUCUAAGUAAUAUUUAAAGAUAAUGUGAAAUCUGACCUGUGCCUCGAGUUUUUGUUGACAUUUACAUUGAAUACGAU